This 328-nucleotide unclassified non-coding RNA is filed under the name soil metagenome. RNAcentral's name for it is "partial contains 5.8S ribosomal RNA, internal transcribed spacer 2, and large subunit ribosomal RNA". The stretch from base 1 to 120 matches the Rfam family "5.8S ribosomal RNA", at positions 35 to 154 of the family's 154-position model. The record is from RNAcentral.
GAUGAAGAACGUAGCGAAAUGCGAUAAGUAAUGUGAAUUGCAGAAUUCAGUGAAUCAUCGAAUCUUUGAACGCACAUUGCGCCCCUUGGUAUUCCGAGGGGCAUGCCUGUUCGAGCGUCAUUAUCACCCCUCAAGCUCAGCUUGGUGUUGGGGCCUGCCGCACGGGCAGCCCUUAAAAUCAGUGGCGGUGCCAUCUGGCUCUAAGCGUAGUAAUUCUUCUCGCUAUAGAGUCCCGGUGGAUGCUUGCCAUUAACCCCCAAUUUUCUAUGGUUGACCUCGGAUCAGGUAGGGAUACCCGCUGAACUUAAGCAUAUCAAUAAGCGGAGGA